GAUGAACGCUGACAGAAUGACUUACACAUGCAAGGUCGACUCGAGUCUUCGGACUUGGGUGGCGGACGGGUGAGUAACGCGUAAAGACUUGCCUCAUAGUCUGGGACAACAUUUGGAAACGGAUGCUAAUACCGGAUAUUAUGCUUUCUUCGCAUGGAGGAAGUAUGAAAGCUAUAUGCGCUAUGAGAGAGCUUUGCGGUCCCAUUAGCUAGUUGGUGAGGUAACGGCCCACCAAGGCGAUGAUGGGUAGCCGGCCUGAGAGGGUGAACGGCCACAAGGGGACUGAGACACGGCCCUUACUCCUACGGGAGGCAGCAGUGGGGAAUAUUGGACAAUGGACCAAAAGUCUGAUCCAGCAAUUCUGUGUGCACGAUGACGUUUUCGGAAUGUAAAGUGCUUUCAGUCGGGGAAGAAGCAAGUGACGGUACCGACAGAAGAAGCGACGGGCUAAAAUACGUGCCAGCAGCCGCGGGUAAAU
RNAcentral lists this ribosomal RNA (478 nucleotides) under uncultured Fusobacterium sp. RNAcentral's name for it is "bacterial SSU rRNA". It matches the Rfam family "Bacterial small subunit ribosomal RNA", at positions 28 to 526 of the family's 1533-position model. Lineage: Bacteria; Fusobacteriati; Fusobacteriota; Fusobacteriia; Fusobacteriales; Fusobacteriaceae. The record is from RNAcentral.